CCUACGGGAGACAGCAGUGGGGAAUAUUGGGCAAUGGACGCAAGUCUGACCCAGCAACGCCGCGUGAAGGAAGAAGGCUUUCGGGUUGUAAACUUCUUUUAAGGGGGAAGAGCAGAAGACGGUACCCCUUGAAUAAGCCACGGCUAACUACGUGCCAGCAGCCGCGGUAAUACGUAGGUGGCAAGCGUUGUCCGGAUUUCCUGGGUGUAAAGGGCGUGCAGCCGGAGAGACAAGUCAGAUGUGAAAUCCACGGGCUCAACCCGUGAACUGCAUUUGAAACUGUUUCCCUUGAGUGUCGGAGAGGUAAUCGGAAUGCCUGGUGUAGCGGUGAAAUGCGUAGAUAUAAGGAAGAACACCAGUGGCGAAGGCAGAUUACUGGACGAUAACUGACGGUGAGGCGCGAAAGCGUGGGGAGCAAACAGGAUUAGAUACCCCAGUAGUC
RNAcentral lists this ribosomal RNA (442 nucleotides) under uncultured bacterium. RNAcentral describes it as "partial 16S ribosomal RNA". It matches the Rfam family "Bacterial small subunit ribosomal RNA", at positions 338 to 795 of the family's 1533-position model. The record is from RNAcentral.